UGUCCUCUCCGAUUUGUAACUCAAGGAGCUCCCAGGCUUAGGAACAGAUGACGAGCUGGCCACUCCUGGCUGUGGCACCUGGGGAAGGGGCGAUGGGCAAUGACUUGCAGGCACACUCCCGGCUCCCUGGCCCCGGCUGCCGUGACACACUGCAAGUUGACUUUCGCAGGGUCCCUGGACUUCGAGGUGCUACUGUCCGGCAUCUCCUUCAAGGGAAAGCCAGAUCUCCAAACAGCGGCAGAACCAGGCAUGUAGAGCCCAGUGAGUGACUAGGAGUCAGUGGGGCUCUCUACCUGCCCAUCUCAUCCAGGGCACAAUAGGGCCUGGCCUGGAGGACAGUGUCCCCGCUCAGCUCUGCCAGUCAGACUGACACUAUCAUCUCAACCUUAGUGGGGAUGGAUUUAGCAAGCCAAAGCUCCCUGGAAGAGGAAAUUCCUUUCCUGCAGAGCUCUCCAGGAGAAGCAGAGAAAGAUCUUAGUGCUCAGAGAUUAGCUGGGAUUGCUCUGGAGGCAUGUGAUGAUGGUCAUAAUAGCACCAAGGAAUGACAUACUGUUGAUUUGCUCUCAGGCACAGUACCAAGCAUUUGACCUGAAUUAUUCAAUCCACACACCAGUCACAUGAGACAGGUGUUUUUAGUUGUCUCCAUUGUACAGAUGAAGAAACUGAGGUGGAGUGGGGUUAAACCACUUGUCAGGAUCAGUACCAGCAUUGGAUCCCUGCAGCCUGACCUGGGGUCCUCGGCUCUGACCAACUUGGUGAUGUUGUCUCCUCCUGGAAGUUCUUACUGAUCACUUAUAGACAGAUCAGGGAUUUCUUUAUGGCAAGGUAUAUACAAAGGAAAGUGCCGAUAGUCUUUUUAUUUUUAAAACCUUCAAAGAAAGCAGAAAAGUUAGAAGCAGAAACAGAAGAAAAAAAGAUUUAGAUCAAGUAGUAAUUAUUCAAUAACUCAAGUUUAGAAAGAUACUAGAUUUGGGGCACCUGGGUGGCUCAGUCGGUUAAGUGUCCGACUUCAGCUCAGGUCAUGAUCUCAGUU
This is a long non-coding RNA of Herpailurus yagouaroundi (jaguarundi), 1033 nucleotides long. RefSeq lists it as uncharacterized. The transcript has 4 exons. The record is from RefSeq and is a predicted model, not a curated record. NCBI's taxonomy places the organism in Eukaryota, Metazoa, Chordata, Mammalia, Carnivora, Felidae.